ACCCUCCGAAUCCCUUACCUGUCAGACCCAAGCACUGGUCUGAGUGGUUAUGAAUGGAGGAAAAGCAAAAUGGAAACUGAUUUAAAUUUUGUGUGUGACCCACAAUGUAGUGUCAAAGAAAC
Molecule: small nucleolar RNA, 122 nt
Filed under: Echinops telfairi (small Madagascar hedgehog)
Lineage: Eukaryota; Metazoa; Chordata; Mammalia; Afrosoricida; Tenrecidae
Description: Small nucleolar RNA SNORA61 (ENSETEG00000024077.1)
Source: RNAcentral